GAACUGCAUCCAAAACUGGCGAGCUAGAGUACCCUAUGGGGGAACGUUUCGAAAGGAACGCUAAUACUCCUACGGGAGAAAGCAGGGGACCUUCGGGCCUUGCGCUAUCAGAUGAGCCUAGGUCGGAUUAGCUAGUUGGUGAGGUAAUGGCUCACCAAGGCGACGAUCCGUAACUGGUCUGAGAGGAUGAUCAGUCACACUGGAACUGAGACACGGUCCAGACUCCUACGGGAGGCAGCAGUGGGGAAUAUUGGACAAUGGGCGAAAGCCUGAUCCAGCCAUGCCGCGUGUGUGAAGAAGGUCUUCGGAUUGUAAAGCACUUUAAGUUGGGAGGAAGGGCAGUAAGCUAAUACCUUGCUGUUUUGACGUUACCGACAGAAUAAGCACCGGCUAGCCAGCAGCCGCGGUAAUACAGAGGGUGCAAGCGUUAAUCGGAAUUACUGGGCGUAAAGCGCGCGUAGGUGGUUCGUUAAGUUGGAUGUGAAAGCCCCGGGCUCAACCUGGGAACUGCAUCCAAAACUGGCGAGCUAGAGUACGGUAGAGGGUAAUUUCCUGUGUAGCGGUGAAAUGCGUAGAUAUAGGAAGGAACACCAGUGGCGAAGGCGACCACCUGGACUGAUACUGACACUGAGGUGCGAAAGCGGGAGCAAACAGGAUUAGAUACCCUGGUAGUCCACGCCGUAUACGAUGUCAACUAGCCGUUGGAAUCCUUGAGAUUUUAGUGGCGCAGCUAACGCAUUAAGUUGACCGCCUGGGGAGUACGGCCGCAAGGUUAAAACUCAAAU
This 785-nucleotide ribosomal RNA is filed under the name Pseudomonas putida. Its description in RNAcentral is "bacterial SSU rRNA". It matches the Rfam family "Bacterial small subunit ribosomal RNA", at positions 88 to 906 of the family's 1533-position model. Lineage: Bacteria; Pseudomonadati; Pseudomonadota; Gammaproteobacteria; Pseudomonadales; Pseudomonadaceae. The record is from RNAcentral.